CCUCGGUGGAAGUGACAUCGCAGCGGAAGUGAAUACAGGUUCGCCUGAAGCUGAAGCUUAAGAACUGCGAUCCCGACUUCCGGAAAGGGAGUUCUGGUGAAGUGGGAGGGUGGAAAUGCUACAGGUUCAUGAAUUAUGCAUCAGUCACUUCCGCACCGAGCUAUGCAGUGAUCACUCCUCGGGGCUGCCCCAUCCCCUGGUGGUCUGCACCACAACGGGGCCUCCGAUGUGUGCCUUCUGCAUAUUGAUGAGCCACAGGGUCACGCUGUCCCUCUGAAGGGACACGGCUGAAGACAGAACAGGGGACUCAAGUAUCUUGCAAAGGCUUUAUUUGAAAAUUUUGAAACUUACAUCCCACAAGAAUUCAAGAUUAUCACCACAAGAAGAAGAAAAAGAUAAUACAAAAAUAUAUAUCACAGCAUAGGAGCCAGGUAAGAAGGGA
Long non-coding RNA from Heterocephalus glaber (naked mole-rat), 442 nucleotides. RefSeq lists it as uncharacterized. Lineage: Eukaryota; Metazoa; Chordata; Mammalia; Rodentia; Bathyergidae. The record is from RefSeq and is a predicted model, not a curated record.